RNAcentral lists this ribosomal RNA (253 nucleotides) under uncultured bacterium. RNAcentral's name for it is "partial 16S ribosomal RNA". It matches the Rfam family "Bacterial small subunit ribosomal RNA", at positions 524 to 776 of the family's 1533-position model. The record is from RNAcentral.
UACGGGGGGGGCAAGCGUUGUUCGGAUUUAUUGGGCGUAAAGGGUCCGUAGGCGGUCCGGAAAGUCAGAUGUGAAAUCCUACAGCUCAACUGUAGAACUGCAUUUGAAACUUCCGGACUAGAGUGUGAGAGGGGUAAAGGGAAUUCCCGGUGUAAGGGUGAAAUCUGCAGAGAUCGGGAGGAACACCAGUCGCGAAAGCGCUUUACUGGCUCAUUACUGACGCUCAGGGACGAAAGCUAGGGGAGCAAACGGG